AUCACAUUUGCUAAAUUUCAAAUUUCUAAAAAGCUACUGUGUCUAUGAUAAACUUUCCUGUAUUUCUUUGCUGUUUUUAAAGAUUAUCUUAGUGAAAGGGAAAAGCAUGUAGAGUGAAAGCAGAAAAGGUUGUGACAAUGUUGAUUUGCUUUUUCGUUCUUCAAAUGCCAAGUCCUAUAAUUUGUUUUCCUAUGCAAGCAUUGCAAAAAUACAGUUGCUUUCAGGAAUCCUAAAGUGGCAUUUUACUGAGUUUGAAGUAUUGAAGGUAUGGAGUAAAUGUGGUAAUAUAGAACUCCUAACACAAGUAUCUUGGAAGUUCAUAAAUAAGUUGAUUUCUAGGUUCUUGUUUAUUUGAAAAAUAAAAUUGCAAUUUGAGAUAAGUGCUUGAACACUCUACUUAAAUAUUUCUGUGUUUUACGAAGAAAUUGAUCUGCAUAGAUAUUUUCCCACUGUACUUCAUUUUCUCAUAAUGUACAUUCCCCUUUAACUGAAA
RNAcentral lists this long non-coding RNA (493 nucleotides) under Bos taurus (domestic cattle). RNAcentral's name for it is "long non-coding RNA NONBTAT018298". The record is from RNAcentral. Lineage: Eukaryota; Metazoa; Chordata; Mammalia; Artiodactyla; Bovidae.